RNAcentral lists this long non-coding RNA (7618 nucleotides) under Manihot esculenta (cassava). Its description in RNAcentral is "long non-coding RNA (MESC_LNC003140)". The record is from RNAcentral. Lineage: Eukaryota; Viridiplantae; Streptophyta; Magnoliopsida; Malpighiales; Euphorbiaceae.
UGUUUUACUUUUUUUUACCUUAUUUUUGUUGUCUCUCUCACUUUUACAUACUUCUAAUGGAAUGAUGGUUGCUAACUUGUCCAAUUAUAAUGUUGUCUUGUUCUUAAGUUAAAACUUCUCAUCAUUAAAGCAAGGUAAACCAUUUUACUGUUUGUAGAGUUUUUUGCUGACAGAAAAGCACAUAAUAUUUUGUAUGACUAUGAUCUUUUCCAGAAUUAAUUUGGUCAUUGUGUUGGUGCCGGUUGUAAAUGAAGUAUCUUAAAACUUUUGUAGGCUUUUAUUAUUAGAAGUUGUAAUAAUUAAUAUUAGGGUUGUGCAUAGUUUCAUAGCUGGCCCAAAUUGAAUUGAAUCAUAUCAGGACUUAAAAUACUAGAACCAAACUGGAACCAUUUAUACUGAUAACUAUUGGGCUUCGGAUACUCAGGUCACAGCUAAGCCUAUGUAGGGAGGCCGGACCGUAGCCUCAUCAAAGCCCGUUACAUAGGUCCACUCACUAGCACGCGGCCCUGACCUCGUGCAAAUAGGGUGGACAAAACAGGGUUCGGGCUCAUUGUAGGGAGAUCGAGCUCAACUGAUUUGAUGGAUUGGUGGGACACACAUACCCUAUACAUUCAUGAUUGUGUCCACAGGGCGCCGGAGGAAAUUAAAUGGCCGCUUGACGAUGGGAGAGGGCACAAUACAUCUGUAUGUACGGUUUUGCGUGAUAAUGGCAGGGUGUAUUGGAUCUCAGGAUAUCAAUUGUCGCUGUCUGUGGGAAAUGAAGAUCUUUUUGUCACUGGAGUUCUCAUUCUCACCAUACCCACUGAGAUCUGCAUUGCCAACCACGGCUAAAGUCAUACCAGAAACACUCCAAACGAAGCAAGGACCAUAGUUCUCAUUUUGCAGCUCUGCCACUCCACUAAGCCAACCACCUUUGUUGUUUAACCUUCGCCAAGCUCAGCAGGACUGCUUAUUGGCUAGGGCAGAUGUUGCAACAAAGGAGACUCGGUACCCCAUUGAGCAUACCACCAGUAAUCGAAGGGCUCAACGUUAAUGAGUUCCAACCCACACUAAACCACCAAGCCCCUCAGCAAAGCAGGAGGACGGGUGACGGAGACGAAGAAGCUAACAGAAGGAACGAGUUUGUGGCCAAAGUGAGAGGCUGAGUAGUACGGAAACUUAUUGAGAAUGAUGGGGUUGAAAGUUAUUCCUUUGAACCAACAGAAUAGUAAGGGAACUUAUUGAGAAUGAUGGGGCUGAAAGUUAUUCUUUAGAACCAAUAGAAAGGUCAAAACUGAAAAGUUGGAGAGAAAUUACCGCCUGGAGAAAAGGCCAAAGAGAGAAGAGGCAGAUGUAGAUCAAAAGCUGGAGAGGCUAAAGGAGCAACUACUAGUAGAGUUAGGGGCACGAGACAACAGCAGCUCCCUGCUACCAACCCAUCCCCAUUCAUGAGAUGGGUGCAGCAGGAAACCAUCCCAAAAAAUUCAUGAUGCCGACAAUGGCUGCGUAUGACGGCACGAGAAACCCCUGGGAGCACGUCUUGAACUAUAAGACGUUCAUGGAGCUGCAGAUCCAUUCGGAUGCAUUGAUGUGCAAAUUUUUUCCCACCACUCUCACGGGCCAGUCCGAGCAUGCUUCAACAGCCUAGAGGGAGGGAGCAUUAAAAGCUUUAUGGACCUAGCCAGUGUGUUUAUCAGCAGGUUCAUUGCCGGGAUCCCAGCUAAAACAAAAACAAGCUACUUGGAAACAGUUCAGCAAAGAAGGAAUGAUCUCUGAGGAAAUAUGUGGUUAGGUUCAAUUCGGAGGCUCUACAAAUUCCCGAGCUUGACGAAGCUAGAGCAAUAGAAGCCAUGUAGAAGGAUACCACCUAUCCAAAGUUUUUUGGACCACUAUGCAGAAAGCCGCUCACCACCUUGGCAGUGUUGCUGAAGAGAGUAGAAAAAUAUAUAAGACAAGGCGAUGCCUUAACCACUAGCAGAUUUGUCAAGGAAGCAGGAGACAGAGGAAAGACUGAAGAGGAUAAGCGGUCGGACAGGAAGGAAAGGAGGCAGGACCAGGGGCCUGAAUCGUUGAGCAGACACUGGUGGGAGAGGAAAGUGCAGAGACACUAUGAUGAGACUUUGGUCAUAGAAGCCGUCAUCCUUAACUUCAGGGUCCAAAAGGUUUUAGUAGACGACAGUAGCAAGGUGAACCUGCUGUCCUACCGGGUUUUUCAGCAGAUGAACAUAUUGAGAAACAGCUGGUCAGAGACCGGGCUCUAGCCAAAGGGAUAGGGGGGAUUCCAUUGGCAGUAGAAGGGAAAGUAAAGGUGGCCUUUACCCUAGGGGAACCACCUCUAUCCUGAAUUCACUAUGCAGUAUUCCGUGUGGAGGUCCGAGCUGUGUACCUGGCCACGGUGGAGGAACCAAGCAUCCAAUUAGAAGAAGUAAACUCUGAAGUCAUGGAGGUCCGAGAUGAGAAGAAAGAGACUAGGACUGAGCCGGUAGAUAAACUGGAGACCUUCUCAUUGUUCGAGGAAGAAAGCGACAAGUUCUUCAGUAUCAACUCAGAUCUUGAAAAGUGUAACGACUCGGGAACUGGACCGCUGUCGGUGCUAGGAUUCAGAUCGACUUAAGGUCGCUAGAGCCCAUAGCAAGCCUACUAUACAUCCUGUUACACCUGAUAUAAUCCCAUACAUGAUCAUACAAACAACAAAAACAUAAUCAUUAUAUGAACCAAGACUCGACCUUUGCAUGCAUCAUAACUGCAAACAUGAAAUCCAUACUAGAGCCUUUAUCAAAUGCUCCAGUAUGGUCAACAUAACAUGUCUUAAUCUCGGCUCGAACAUAACUUAUGCUUAAAAACUUUUGCAUAAAAGUAUCAUGAAACAUGGAUUACAAGGAAGAACACGGGCAAAGCAAAAUUCUAAUUCAUAAAUUAAUACAUGUCCACAACUAUACUAUUACAACAGGCUAUACCAGUAACUCAGUUGACUUUCCGAGCUAACUCUGAUCCUGCAAACCUAGGGUUAGGGGAAAGGGAUAACCUAGGGUUAGGGGAAAAGGAUAAGCUAACCUGGGGUUAGGGGAAAGGGAUAAGCUACAAGAGCCUAGUAAGCGGAACAUACAAAAAACAGUUCAAUAAAAUAUAUGAUCGUAUGAAUGCGUCACAACACAAACAAUUCACAUCAAGAUAGACUUGUCACCAGUAACUCCUUACAGAUUCCAAUAGUGCUCGACCCACGACAGGUGCUUCGCAGGACUUCCUCUUAAACAUAACAUAACAUGUCCAUAGUGCCAGGGGCGUAGAAUGAGUAGCCCUGGUCUUUCCAUAUCCAUCAUAACAUAUCAUAACAUACUCGAGGGCUAGUGGGUCAUCGAACGUCCAUCCACAACGACAAUAAUAUAUGCAAUGCAUCAUAUUCGUGAACUCUAAUACAAAACAACCUAAUUGUAUAUACAUGACAUUCGUGAUGCAUGAGCAUGCUUAAAAAUUUGAUUUCUUUAAAAUAAUAGAUCAGUUCAGUUCUACUCACCUCUAACUGACGCACACCUAAUACUGAAGCAGUUAUCUCAAUGCAAGCCUCUUCGGUCUUCCAAGUUUGAUCCUACACAGAUGAACUUAAAUGAGGGAUCAAGCAUAACUUUUACAACACUUAAAACAACCCUCCAAGAAACCUCUACACAAGAACACUCAUAGGAAACAAACAGAAAAAGGCUGGACAGGGAACUUUUGACGAUAGGUUCGGUGGCCUAAAGUCCCUCACAAAUCCGAAGGUCAAAACCUUCGGAGGCAGGUUAGGCGGCCAAAUGGCUACCUCCACAGGCAGGUUCGGUGGCUGAACUUGGGUUCUUCAGUAGGGCAGAACCCGAUUUUGCCCUAUGCUCACAGCCAAGAAACAAACCUAAACUUACAUGCAACAAUUCUAUACAGAUGGACUUAAAUGGGGGACCAAACAUAACUUUUAUAACACUUAAAACAACCUCCUAAGAAACCCCUAAGAACACACAAGAACACUCGUAGGAAACAGGCAGAAAAAGGCUGGACAUGGGACUUUCGGCGGUAGGUUCGGCGGCUUAAAGUCCCUCACAGAUCCGAAGGUCACAACCUUCGGAGGCAGGUUAGGCGGCCAAAUGGCUGCCUCCACAGGCAAAUUCGGCAGUCGAAUCUUGCUUCGGCGGCUGAACCUAGGUUCUCCAGUAAUGCAGAACUCGAUUUUACCCUAUUCUCACAGCCAAGAAACAAACCCAAACUUACAUGCAGCAGCCUAAAGACUACCAUACACACUUAACACGCAUAAGGGACCUCAAAAACUUGUUUUAAACUCAACAUGCGUCAAUAAAAUCCCAAGAGAAAAUCAUCCAUCAUCAAAACUAACUCAAACUUUAAAACUUUAGAAUAAUCAAUCAUGUAUGACCUAACAACUUGUAAUACUGGUUUAAAACCUUCAAAAAACAUAAGAAAAGCAAGGAUUGAACUUACCUCUUGAAGAACACGAAAAACACAGCAAUUCAGACUUGGAGAGGAGGGAGAUCGAUUUUCGGAGGUCUCCAGAGGUUAAAGCUUGAAAUCCAAACUCAAAUCUUAAAAAACAAAGUAAAAACUCAUGAAUUCUCCAAGAGAUUUGAAGUAAUUUCAGCAAAAAAGUCUACAAAAGGGCAUGGACUUACCUCUGCCUGAAAGAAAGAGCUCUCAUGUUUUCAGGCUGAAGGCCUUUUAUAAGUGGCUGGAAAAGCCACCUUUGGCGGCUGAACCUUGAAACUCCUCUAACUCUUUUUUUUUUUUCUUUGAACACAUUUAAAAAUGCUUCAAAUUCAUUUUAUAAAUGCCUUAUUUUACCCUUCUAAAGAUUCCAACUUUGAGAUUCCUGAUUCCGAUGGGGAUUCCGUUAGAAAUUUGAAAUUCCGAUGCCGAAGUUUAACCGGGUAUUACAUUCUUCUCCCCUUAAGAACAUUCGUCCUCGAAUGUUCAACAAAGCAAAUAAGCAAGCAAAACAUACACAUCAAGAAGACAUAAAACCAUCUAACAACUUACUUUAAAAGAGGUGAGGGUACUCAUUAAGCAUCGACUCUCGGGUCUCUCAGGUGCACUCUUCCAUAUUGUGGUGAUUCCAUAAAACUUUCACCAUCGCGAUUUUCUUGUUCCUCAGCUUUCUGAUCUGCGUGUCUACGAUCCGCACUAGCUACUCAGUAUAGGUGAGAUCUCCUAGGAUCUCCAUGUCAGGCUCACUAAGAAUCUUGCUCGGAUCUGACAUGAAUUUUCGUAACAUAGAAACAUGGAAAACUGGAUGGAUUCUCUCCAUAGAAGCAUGUAGAUCUAACUUGUAAGAUACAUUCCCAAUCUUUUGCAAGAUUUCGAAGGGUUUGAUGUACCUUGGAGCUAGUUUACCUUUCUUUCCAAAACGAAUCACCCUCUUCAUAGGAGACGCCUUAAGCAAUCCCUCCUGAAAGAUAACUUGCUUUCUGCGGAUGUCUGCAUAGCUCUUCUGCCUACUUAUGGCUGUUCUGAUUCUUUCUCUAAUAAUGGGCACUACCAUGCUGGUGAUCUCUAUUAAUUCUGGCCCUGCUAAAGCCCUUUUUUCUACUUUUUCCUAGUAGACAGGUGACCUGCACUUCCUCCCAUAUAAGGCUUCAUAAGGAGCCAUCCCAAUGCUAGCAUGGUAACUAUUAUUGUAGGCAAACUCCACUAAUGGUAGAUGUUGCCUCCAAGAACCACCAAAGUCUAGCACACACAUCCUUAACAUAUCCUCUAUAGUUUGGAUGGUCCUUUUCGACUGUCUAUCAGUCUGUGGGUGGAAAGUAAUGCUAAAGUCUAGUCUCGUGCCCAUAGCAUUUUGCAGACUCCGCCAGAACUUGGAGGUAAACUGGGGUCCCCUAUCUGACACUAUAAAAACUGGAGCCCCAUGUAGCCUGAUGAUUUCUUCCAUGUAGAUCUGCGCCAACUUGUCUACAGUGUGACUGCUCCUGACAGGAAUAAAGUGAGCAGAUUUGGUCAAUCUGUCUACUGUUACCCAUAUAGAGUCAUGUCUGUUGAACGUUGCCGGUAACCCCACUACAAAAUUCAUUGCCACGCUUUCUCAUUUCUACUUUGGAAUCGGUAGUGGGUUGAGCAUUUCAGCUGGCUUCUGAUGUUCCAAUUUCACCCUUUGACACACCUCACAAGCGGGCACAAAUUGAGCCACUUCCCUCUUCAUAGAUGGCCACCAAUACACUUUGUUUAGAUCCUGAUACAUUUUGGUGGCUCUAGGGUGGAUACUGUACCUGGCAUUAUAAGCCUCUCUCAUAAUGUCUCCUUUCAAGCCUAUGUCAUCUAGUGCAUACAAUCUGUUCCCGUAAUGGAGAAUCCCUCUGUUGUCUAACCUAAAAUCACCAUUCUUACCUUUCUGAACUACUCCUGCUAUUUUUAACAACUCGGGUUCUCAUGCUGUUUCUGUGCCACUUGUUCCAGAAACAUGGGUGUCACUUUCAUUUGUGCUACUAACGCACCUGUACCAGACAACUCUAGUUGCAAGCCUUCAUUAACAAGCCUGUAAAACUCUUUCACCAGUGGUCUUCUUUCCAUUGAGAUGUGGGAUAAAUUGCCAAAUGAUUUUCGCAUAAGAGUAUCUACCACCACAUUUACUUUGCUCGGAUGAUACUGGAUUUUGCAAUCGUAAUCACUAAGCAGUUCCACCCAUCUCCUCUGCCUCAAGUUUAACUCUCUCUGACUCAAGAUGUAUUGCAAGCUCUUAUGAUCUGUGAAGAUCUCACUUUUCAUCCCAUACAGGUAUUGCCUCCACAUCUUGAGUACAAAUAUCACAACUGCCAUUUCUAGAUUGUGUGUAGGAUAAUUUAACCGGUGCUUCUUCAACUGUCUAGAAGCAUAAGCAAUGGCCCUCUUAUUCUGCAUCAACACACAACCUAGUCCCACUCGGGAUGCAGUAGUUGGGGUGUUUUUGGUAUGGUUUUCGCCGUGGUUUGCAAUGCGGAUCUCAGUGGAUAUGGUGAGGAUGAGAACUUCGGUGAUGAAAAAAACUCUUUCAUUUCCCACAGAUGGUGCCAAUUGAUAUUCUGAGAUCUAAUAGCGAGUAGGCUCAAGGUAUUGAUAUUCUGAGACCCAAUAGUGAGUAGGCUCAAGGUAUGUAUUUUUGAACUUGGGCUGAUUAGCUCAUGCCUUUCUUCUUUCAUCCUUUUCCCUUUUAUCUUCUAGUGACACAACCACCGUCCUGCACUGGCACACUCUGUCAUUAUUACGCGAAACCGUACGUACAGAUGUACUGUGCCCUCUCCCAUCGCCAGGUAGCCAUUUAAUUUCCUCCGGCGCACUGUUCUAUCCAGCCUAUUUGCACGAGGUCAGGGCCGCGCGCUAGUGAGUGGACUCGCUUAGCGGGUUAUGAUGAAGCUACGGUCCGGCCUCCCUACAUGGGUUUAGCUGUGACUUGAGCAUCCGAGGCCCAAUAAUUAUCAAAUCUCAACAUAAAAUCUUUUUUCUUCUCAUCUAUGGUCUACCCAUGCGACUUUCUUAGCAAAGGAGGGAAGAAUCAGUGCUUGAAGAGUGAUGUUUUCAUUUGCUUAUGGAAAAUAUUUUUUUUCAAAUUUUUUUCCUUACUUUUGUGUAAUAUCAUGGAGCUCAAAUGAUGAACUUGUGAUUGUUUUUUUUUCCUCAAAAUAUUGUGCAAACC